This 285-nucleotide long non-coding RNA is filed under the name Manihot esculenta (cassava). RNAcentral's name for it is "long non-coding RNA (MESC_LNC012951)". Lineage: Eukaryota; Viridiplantae; Streptophyta; Magnoliopsida; Malpighiales; Euphorbiaceae. The record is from RNAcentral.
GUUUUACCCUACUAGAGGCUUCCGACAUCCGAGAUUCCACCGGACGGUAGGAAUUCCGAUACCGGAGUCUAGCCGGGUAUUACAUUCUCCCCCCCUUAAGAACAUUCGUCCCCGAAUGUUCCUCAACUAGCACAUGCAAAGCAUACAACAUAAAACACAUAGAGACUAACCUUAAAAGAGAUGAGGAUAUUGCCGGAGCAUAGACUCCCGUGUCUCCCAAGUGCACUCUUCCAGAUUGUGGUGGUUCCAAAGGACCUUCACCAUCGGGAUUUCCUUGUUCCUUAG